This 477-nucleotide ribosomal RNA is filed under the name uncultured bacterium. RNAcentral's name for it is "partial 16S ribosomal RNA". It matches the Rfam family "Bacterial small subunit ribosomal RNA", at positions 28 to 507 of the family's 1533-position model. The record is from RNAcentral.
GAUGAACGCUGGCGGCGUGCCUAAUACAUGCAAGUCGAGCGAACAGACGAGGAGCUUGCUCCUCUGACGUUAGCGGCGGACGGGUGAGUAACACGUGGAUAACCUACCUAUAAGACUGGGAUAACUUCGGGAAACCGGAGCUAAUACCGGAUAAUAUAUUGAACCGCAUGGUUCAAUAGUGAAAGACGGUUUUGCUGUCACUUAUAGAUGGAUCCGCGCCGCAUUAGCUAGUUGGUAAGGUAGCGGCUUACCAAGGCAACGAAGCGUAGCCGGCCUGAGAGGGUGACCGGCGAGAUUGGGACUGAGGUACGGCCAAGACCGCGACGGGAGGCAGCAGUGGGGAAUAUUGCACAAUGGGCGGAAGCCUGAUGCAGCAACGCAGCGUGCGGGAUGACGGCCUUCGGGUUGUAAACCGCUUUCGCCUGUGACGAAGCGUGAGUGACGGUAAUGGGUAAAGAAGCACCGGCUAACUACGUG